UGUACACACCGCCCGUCACACCAUGGAAGUUGAUUGCACCAGAAGUCGGUAGCUUAACCGCAAGGAGAGCGCCGCCCACGGUGUGGUCAAUGACUGGGGUGAAGUCGUAACAAGGUAGCCGUACGGGAACGUGCGGCUGGAUCACCUCCUU
This 151-nucleotide ribosomal RNA is filed under the name uncultured bacterium. Its description in RNAcentral is "partial 16S ribosomal RNA". It matches the Rfam family "Bacterial small subunit ribosomal RNA", at positions 1382 to 1532 of the family's 1533-position model. The record is from RNAcentral.